ACUACGGGAGGCAGCAGUGAGGAAUAUUGGUCAAUGGGCGGAAGCCUGAACCAGCCAAGUAGCGUGCAGGAUGACGGCCCUACGGGUUGUAAACUGCUUUUAUACGGGAAUAACGCGCCUUACGUGUAGGGCUUUGCAUGUACCGUAUGAAUAAGGACCGGCUAAUUCCGUGCCAGCAGCCGCGGUAAUACGGAAGGUCCGGGCGUUAUCCGGAUUUAUUGGGUUUAAAGGGAGCGCAGGCCGCAUGUCAAGCGUGCUGUGAAAUGUCCGGGCUCAACCCGGGCCUUGCAGCGCGAACUGGCGUGCUUGAGUCCGCGGAAAGCAGGCGGAAUUCGUCGUGUAGCGGUGAAAUGCUUAGAUAUGACGAAGAACCCCGAUUGCGAAGGCAGCUUGCUGCAGCGGAACUGACGCUGAUGCUCGAAAGCGCGGGUAUCGAACAGGAUUAGAUACCCUGGUAGUC
RNAcentral lists this ribosomal RNA (460 nucleotides) under uncultured bacterium. Its description in RNAcentral is "partial 16S ribosomal RNA". It matches the Rfam family "Bacterial small subunit ribosomal RNA", at positions 338 to 795 of the family's 1533-position model. The record is from RNAcentral.